This 211-nucleotide long non-coding RNA is filed under the name Trifolium pratense (red clover). RNAcentral describes it as "long non-coding RNA (TPRA_LNC013352)". Lineage: Eukaryota; Viridiplantae; Streptophyta; Magnoliopsida; Fabales; Fabaceae. The record is from RNAcentral.
AGUGAAACUCAUCCUUGACAUUUUUAUUAUUAUCAAAUACAAAGUAAUUUUCGUUGUUAUUAUUAUUAUUGCUAUUGCAACCAAUCAAACUGAAACCUUUUGUUCAAUCGAGUAAAAAUCACAAUUCAACAGUAUAACGCGAUCCUUGAGUUCGACACUCGGUCUUACCGUUUUAAAUAUAUUACUUGCACGAUUUCGUACACUUGCGAAA